RNAcentral lists this non-coding RNA (24 nucleotides) under Arabidopsis thaliana (thale cress). The record is from RNAcentral. Lineage: Eukaryota; Viridiplantae; Streptophyta; Magnoliopsida; Brassicales; Brassicaceae.
CCAGUCAGUCUGACCACGUCGGAG